UAGGGAAUCUUCCGCAAUGGACGCAAGUCUGACGGAGCAACGCCGAGUGAGUGAAGAAGGAUUUCGGUUCGUAAAACUCUGUUGUUAGAGAAGAACAGCGCAUAGAGUAACUGUUAUGCGUGUGACGGUAUCUAACCAGAAAGCCACGGCUAACUACGUGCCAGCAGCCGCGGUAAUACGUAGGUGGAAAGCGUUGUACGGAUUUAUUGGGCGUAAAGCGAGCGCAGGCGGUAAAUUAAGCCUGAUGUGAAAGCCCCCGGCUCAACCGGGGAGGGUCAUUGGAAACGGGUUGACUUGAGUGCAGAAGAGGAGAGUGUAAUUCCAUGUGUAGCGGUGACAUGCGUAGAUAUAUGGAGGACCACCAGUGGCGAAGGCGACUCUCUGGUCUGUAACUGACGCUGAGGUUCGAAAGCGUGGGUAGCAAACAGG
RNAcentral lists this ribosomal RNA (429 nucleotides) under Bacteroidota bacterium. Its description in RNAcentral is "Bacteroidetes bacterium partial 16S ribosomal RNA". It matches the Rfam family "Bacterial small subunit ribosomal RNA", at positions 355 to 776 of the family's 1533-position model. Lineage: Bacteria; Pseudomonadati; Bacteroidota. The record is from RNAcentral.